RNAcentral lists this ribosomal RNA (316 nucleotides) under uncultured eukaryote. RNAcentral's name for it is "partial 18S ribosomal RNA". It matches the Rfam family "Eukaryotic small subunit ribosomal RNA", at positions 1470 to 1796 of the family's 1831-position model. The record is from RNAcentral.
CCCUUAGAUGUUCUGGGCCGCACGCGUGCUACACUGACCGGCGCAACAAGUUUCUUUCCUUGGCUCGAUAGGCCUGGGUAAUCUUUGAACGCCGGUCGUGAUGGGGAUAGAUCCUUGCAAUUUUUGAUCUUCAACGAGGAAUUCCUAGUAAAUGCGAGUCAUCAUCUCGCGUUGAUUACGUCCCUGCCCUUUGUACACACCGCCCGUCGCACCUACCGAUUGAAUGGUCCGGUGAGGCCUCGGGAUUGCGAAUGCUUCGUGCGGACGCGAGAACUUGGCUAAACCUUACCAUUUAGAGGAAGGUGAAGUCGUAACA